GCACGGGAGAGAGGCGAGGAGGCGCUGUGGGCUGCUGGGCUCAGGCCUAGAGGCGCCCUUCAAAACGAACAGCCUGGGUGCUGUGGAGGGCACGUUGAUGGCAGCAAAAGGAAGACAGGCUACUGGACAGAAAGGGACGGGUCCCAGUGAAGCCCCACCUUCAAGCCAGGGAUGGCUUCAAUCCUGGAGGCCGCGCUGUCAGUUCCGGUCGGAGUCUGUGGCCUGGAGUGAGCACUAAUGGUUCUUUUUCCAGGCCCGCCCAUGGCCACCCAUGGACCAAUCAGCAUGCACUUCCUCCCUUCUGAACCCAUAAAAACCCCGCUCCCCGGACGCAGCCGGAGUCACGCGAAGUCGGAAGUACCAGCUGCGGGAAGGAGCUGCCCACUGUGCGUCUUCUCAACUUGUUGGGACAACCUUCCUGCGGAAAGGAGAGACAACCUUCCUGCAGAAAGGAGCUACCUGCUUCAGGUCUACUGAGAGCUGUUCUGCCACUCAAUAAAGCUCUUCUCCAUCUUGCUAAGCCUCCAUUUGUCCGCAAUACCUCAUCUCCCUGGACGCAGGACAAGAACUCAGGACCCGCCUGGAGGUGCCCACAGCAGAAUCCACAUGCCGUCCAUCUGGUCCAGCCUCACGCAGAGCCACAACUGUGCUGGCGCCUGGAGCUGCCAGCCCCACUGCAGCAGCCGGACUGACAUUCAGACGUGGAGCAAGUUGGACUGCAUAGGGACCCACCAGUGAGAUGGACGCUGUCUGUAAACGGUUCUCCAGGGAGGCUGCUCUGCCAAGUCUGGUAUUUCAUGAAUAGAUCUGAAAACAGACAUUAUCUCUUCUCCCAGUGAAGAGAGAGCGAUGAAGCCUCAGGACAAAAGGAGGCAGUGGGAUGAUGCCACCAAGGGACCAUUCUGAAGAGCCAUCAGCAAAAAGCAGCCACACCUGCUUAUGUGGCUCUGGGACAAAUGAUCUGAGCCGUGACGUGGAACUUAGAUGCAGUAAAGUCCAUUGUAUUGAGCCUUCUCUGGCACUCCUCCCAAAACAGAGAGACAACAGUUCUGUUAUGUUUUGUUUGGUUUGGUCUCCCUCAACUCAUCAAUGAGCCUUUUUAAAAAGAAUAAUUCGGUACUUUCUUUAAAGGUGGUAGAAUUGGCUCUUACUCUAGUCUGUUUUCUCCUUCCUAAGGGAGGAGCAUCCUUCUUGUUAACACAGAACCCCAAACUAUCUGAUCAGAAAGAAAAUAAUUCAAUCUGCUGUUUGAAUUGACUUCCAGCAGCGUCUUAAAUUUUAAUUGGCCCCCGGCCUAAAACAACCUCAAACUGUAUGUCUUCCAUACUCCUCUCACCACCACCAUCACCACUGCCCCUACAACCACUCUAAGCAUAGUACAUAUGGUGAACAUACCAUGAUAUUGAAUGCUAUUCUCACUCUGCCUUCUCUUAAUCUGAUCUUACUCAGGUUCUGACAGUUGACGCUGAAAACAUUUUUUGUUGUUGUUGUGGUUGAGACAGAGUUUCGCACUUGUUGCCCAGGCUGGAGUACAGUGGUGCGAUCUCGGCUCACUGCAACCUCCGCCUCCCGGGUUCAAGUGAUUCUCCUGCCUCAGCUCCCCAAGUAGCUGGGAUUACAGGCAUGUGCCACCAUGCCUGACUAAGUUUGUAUUUUUAGUAGAGACGGGGUUUCUCCAUGUUGGUCAGGCUGAUCUCGAACUCCCGACCUCAGGUGAUCCGCCUGCCUCGGCCUCCCAAAGUGCUGGGAUUACUGGUGUGAGCCACCAUGCCCGGCCAUGACACUGAAAACAUUUUAAAGGAGAAACAGAUUACCAAUUAUCCAUAAAGAUGAGAAUUAUCUGGCAACAUUUUGGUUAGAUGAAAACUGUGACUAGAGAGCUAACAAAAACAAACACAAUGAGCACUAGAUAUCUGCCAGGCAUUGUUCACAGCCCCUUUUUUGGUCUCAUCUGAUCCUUGCUGUAGAUCAGGAAUCAACAAACUAAGCUUUCACCACUUGUCAGGGGUAAAGCCAUGUCAGUCUGAGUCCCAAUGCCACACUGUUAGCCACUCUCCCACACCACCUGCUCCAACUAUUUGAAGAAGGAGAAUGUUUUUCCAGUUAAUAAAGUUAAUAGUUAAAAACUGAAGGAUGCUCUUUGUUUUUUAACUUUUAUUAUUAACCAAAACUUGAAAAUAUAUAUCCUCCCCCAGUGAUACCUCUAUUUAGAAUAUUAGAAUGGAUAUUUGGUACUUAGCCUUCUAUUUUCCUGGAUGAGUAAUAUUUUGAGGCCUGUGCAGUUGUUUAAGAUACAGAUCAUUCUGUCUCAUACCAAGAGGGAGUUUCCAUGCUCUUCUGUGUUGGGCUGGCCUUGUAAGUUUAUUUUAAUAUGGUAUUAGCAUCCAUCGUCACCACUAAUUGCUGUUUACUAAGGAAUCACACAGUGCCUGCCGUGUACAUCAGAAACACACUUGACUGAGCUUACUCUUCACUAGGAAGCAGGAGGCAAAAAUAUGAAUUAGCUUCUUUUUAUGCAUGUGAAGAUGCUUGUCUGUCUUUACUACUUCCCAGGAAUACUGCCAGUGAGGAAUGCUCUGGAAUUCUAAUCUAUUAGUACUGAAUAACAUAAUAAAACUGACAUGAAUACAAAUGACAAGGUGUAGUUUACACAUCCUGGUAUUAAUCUCAAGAGCCUGAGCACUCACAUGAA
Molecule: long non-coding RNA, 2692 nt
Filed under: Homo sapiens (human)
Lineage: Eukaryota; Metazoa; Chordata; Mammalia; Primates; Hominidae
Description: HSALNT0224981
Source: RNAcentral